UUAAAUUGAAGAGUUUGAUCAUGGCUCAGAUUGAACGCUGGCGGCAGGCCUAACACAUGCAAGUCGAGCGGAAACGAGUUAUCUGACCCUUCGGGGGACGAUAACGGCGUCGAGCG
This 116-nucleotide ribosomal RNA is filed under the name Vibrio sp. 11-4(1). RNAcentral's name for it is "partial 16S ribosomal RNA". It matches the Rfam family "Bacterial small subunit ribosomal RNA", at positions 1 to 104 of the family's 1533-position model. Lineage: Bacteria; Pseudomonadati; Pseudomonadota; Gammaproteobacteria; Vibrionales; Vibrionaceae. The record is from RNAcentral.